RNAcentral lists this ribosomal RNA (670 nucleotides) under Pseudomonas gessardii. Its description in RNAcentral is "bacterial SSU rRNA". It matches the Rfam family "Bacterial small subunit ribosomal RNA", at positions 100 to 765 of the family's 1533-position model. The record is from RNAcentral. Lineage: Bacteria; Pseudomonadati; Pseudomonadota; Gammaproteobacteria; Pseudomonadales; Pseudomonadaceae.
GACGGGUGAGUAAUGCCUAGCGAAUCUGCCUGGUAGUGGGGGAUAACGUUCGGAAACGGACGCUAAUACCGCAUACGUCCUACGGGAGAAAGCANGGGACCUUCGGGCCUUGCGCUAUCAGAUGAGCCUAGGUCGGAUUANCUAGUUGGUGGGGUAAUGGCUCACCAAGGCGACGAUCCGNAACUGGUCUGAGAGGAUGAUCAGAUCACACUGGAACUGAGACACGGUCCANACUCCUACGGGAGGCAGCAGUGGGGAAUAUUGGACAAUGNGCGAAAGCCUGAUCCAGCCAUGCCGCGUGUGUGAAGAAGGUCUUCGGAUUGUAAAGCACUUUAAGUUGGGAGGAAGGGUUGUAGAUUAAUACUCUGCAAUUUUGACGUUACCGACAGAAUAAGCACCGGCUAACUCUGUGCCAGCAGCCGCGGUAAUACAGAGGGUGCAAGCGUUAAUCGGAAUUACUGGGCGUAAAGCGCGCGUAGGUGGUUAGUUAAGUUGGAUGUGAAAUCCCCGGGCUCAACCUGGGAACUGCAUUCAAAACUGACUGACUAGAGUAUGGUAGAGGGUGGUGGAAUUUCCUGUGUANCGGUGAAAUGCGUANAUAUAGGAAGGAACACCAGUGGCGAAGGCGACCACCUGGACUGAUACUGACACUGANGUGCGAAAGCGUGGG